GAUGAUCGCUGGCGGCGUGCCUAAUACAUGCAAGUCGAGCGAACGGACGAGAAGCUUGCUUCUCUGAUGUUAGCGGCGGACGGGUGAGUAACACGUGGAUAACCUACCUAUAAGACUGGGAUAACUUCGGGAAACCGGAGCUAAUACCGGAUAAUAUUUUGAACCGCAUGGUUCAAAAGUGAAAGACGGUCUUGCUGUCACUUAUAGAUGGAUCCGCGCUGCAUUAGCUAGUUGGUAAGGUAACGGCUUACCAAGGCAACGAUGCAUAGCCGACCUGAGAGGGUGAUCGGCCACACUGGAAAUGAGACACGGUCCAGACUCCUACGGGAGGCAGCAGUAGGGAAUCUUCCGCAAUGGGCGAAAGCCUGACGGAGCAACGCCGCGUGAGUGAUGAAGGUCUUCGGAUCGUAAAACUCUGUUAUUAGGGAAGAACAUAUGUGUAAGUAACUGUGCACAUCUUGACGGUACCUAAUCAGAAAGCCACGGCUAACUACGUG
RNAcentral lists this ribosomal RNA (497 nucleotides) under uncultured bacterium. RNAcentral's name for it is "partial 16S ribosomal RNA". It matches the Rfam family "Bacterial small subunit ribosomal RNA", at positions 28 to 507 of the family's 1533-position model. The record is from RNAcentral.